CUGGCCUGUUAGCCCAGGGUCUGCCCCACCCACUAGAGCACCAAUUUAAUCCAGAUCAGCUAGGGCAGGCAGCCUGUCCUAGGAUCUGGUCCCACCCAACAGCAAGCCUUUGGGCAACUUUUCAGCCUACAUAGACUGGGUGCCUGGAUCCUCUGCAGACAGGCAAGAAUCUCUGCCUCUUCCACCUCAGCCAGGACCACCCCUCAUUGCAGGGGCUCCCCGUAUCCAGCUUUCAGCUCUCUAUCAGGGGCAACCAUUCCCAGAGCAGUUGCAAACUGGUUGCGUCCAUGGGAGGAGGUUCAAACGCCUGUUCACCCAGUCUAGGCCUACAGGAACAUGUCUUUCAACUUUUAUAAUUUAUAGACAGGUGACUGUCUGGCAUGAGUCAAAUCUACAAAAUAAAAAAAUAUGUAUGAACAGAUUUGGGAACUGUGAUGAAAACAACAUCAAUAUAAUUUGAAUGUUCAUAGCCAUUAUCACAUUGCCUGGUAAUUAGGC
RNAcentral lists this long non-coding RNA (498 nucleotides) under Equus caballus (horse). RNAcentral describes it as "lncRNA (ENSECAG00000053188.1)". Lineage: Eukaryota; Metazoa; Chordata; Mammalia; Perissodactyla; Equidae. The record is from RNAcentral.